CCUACGGGAGGCAGCAGUGAGGAAUAUUGGUCAAUGGUCGAGAGACUGAACCAGCCAAGCCGCGUGAGGGAUGAAGGUACUGUGUAUCGUAAACCUCUUUUGUCAGGGAACAAAUGCCGGGACGUGUCCCCGGAUGAGUGUACCUGAAGAAAAAGCAUCGGCUAACUCCGUGCCAGCAGCCGCGGUAAUACGGAGGAUCCGAGCGUUAUCCGGAUUUAUUGGGUUUAAAGGGUGCGUAGGCGGUUCGUUAAGUUAGAGGUGAAAUCCCGGGGCUCAACCCCAGAACUGCAUUUGAUACUGGCGGGCUGGAGUUCAGUUGAGGUAGGCGGAAUGUAUGGUGUAGCGGUGAAAUGCAUAGAGAUCACAAAGAACACCGAUUGCGAAGGCAGCUUACCAAACUACGACUGACGUUGAGGCACGAAAGCGUGGGGAGCAAACAGGAUUAGAUACCCUUGUAGUC
Molecule: ribosomal RNA, 460 nt
Filed under: uncultured bacterium
Lineage: Bacteria
Description: partial 16S ribosomal RNA
Rfam family: Bacterial small subunit ribosomal RNA
Source: RNAcentral